ACACAGGCCCCUGCCCCUGCCUCAGAGGAUGAAAAGGUCGUUGUUGAACCCCCUGAGGGAGAGGAGAAAGUGGAAAAGGCAGAGGUGAAGGAGAGAACAGAGGAACCUAUGGAGACAGAGCCCAAAGGUAAAGGUGCUGCUGACGUAGAGAAGGUGGAGGAAAAGUCAGCAAUAGAUCUGACCCCUAUUGUGGUAGAAGACAAA
Molecule: small RNA, 204 nt
Filed under: Pan troglodytes (chimpanzee)
Lineage: Eukaryota; Metazoa; Chordata; Mammalia; Primates; Hominidae
Description: processed transcript
Source: RNAcentral